ACGGGUGAGUAACACGUGGGUAACCUGCCCAUAAGACUGGGAUAACUCCGGGAAACCGGGGCUAAUACCGGAUAACAUUUUGAACCGCAUGGUUCGAAAUUGAAAGGCGGCUUCGGCUGUCACUUAUGGAUGGACCCGCGUCGCAUUAGCUAGUUGGUGAGGUAACGGCUCACCAAGGCAACGAUGCGUAGCCGACCUGAGAGGGUGAUCGGCCACACUGGGACUGAGACACGGCCCAGACUCCUACGGGAGGCAGCAGUAGGGAAUCUUCCGCAAUGGACGAAAGUCUGACGGAGCAACGCCGCGUGAGUGAUGAAGGCUUUCGGGUCGUAAAACUCUGUUGUUAGGGAAGAACAAGUGCUAGUUGAAUAAGCUGGCACCUUGACGGUACCUAACCAGAAAGCCACGGCUAACUACGUGCCAGCAGCCGCGGUAAUACGUAGGUGGCAAGCGUUAUCCGGAAUUAUUGGGCGUAAAGCGCGCGCAGGUGGUUUCUUAAGUCUGAUGUGAAAGCCCACGGCUCAACCGUGGAGGGUCAUUGGAAACUGGGAGACUUGAGUGCAGAAGAGGAAAGUGGAAUUCCAUGUGUAGCGGUGAAAUGCGUAGAGAUAUGGAGGAACACCAGUGGCGAAGGCGACUUUCUGGUCUGUAGCUGACGC
Molecule: ribosomal RNA, 659 nt
Filed under: Bacillus sp. (in: firmicutes)
Lineage: Bacteria; Bacillati; Bacillota; Bacilli; Caryophanales; Bacillaceae
Description: bacterial SSU rRNA
Rfam family: Bacterial small subunit ribosomal RNA
Source: RNAcentral